UGUAGACAUCCAUGUCUAUUGAGAGGCGGCUGAAAUUGCAUACAAAUGGUCUGACGAGUUUUCUUUCUUUUCCAAAAUUUUCGAAUGUAUAAUUGAUGAAUAAUGUGUUUGCUUAGACAGUGCUGAAACGUGGUUUCCAUGACCCCCUAUUGAAAUGAAUACUCAUCUUGAAUCACAAAUGUAUGAAAAACGAUCAUGUUUCAUCUAAUAUUGGUGCAUUUCAGCCG
Molecule: unclassified non-coding RNA, 227 nt
Filed under: Hevea brasiliensis (rubber tree)
Lineage: Eukaryota; Viridiplantae; Streptophyta; Magnoliopsida; Malpighiales; Euphorbiaceae
Source: RNAcentral